RNAcentral lists this ribosomal RNA (253 nucleotides) under uncultured bacterium. RNAcentral describes it as "partial 16S ribosomal RNA". It matches the Rfam family "Bacterial small subunit ribosomal RNA", at positions 524 to 776 of the family's 1533-position model. The record is from RNAcentral.
UACGAACCGUCCAAACGUUAUUCGGAUUUAUUGGGCUUAAAGGGUAUGUAGGCGGCGCCAUCAGUCGGGUGUGAAAGCCCUCGGCUCAACCGAGGAACUGCGCCCGAUACUGUGGUGCUUGAGGGAGACAGAGGUAAGCGGAACUGAUGGUGGAGCGGUGAAAUGCGUUGAUAUCAUCAGGAACACCGGUGGCGAAGGCGGCUUUCUGGGUCUUACCUGACGCUGAGGAACGAAAGCUAGGGGAGCGAACGGG